AUUGAACGCUGGCGGCAGGCUUAACACAUGCAAGUCGAACGAUGACUCUCUAGCUUGCUAGAGAAGAUUAGUGGCGGACGGGUGAGUAACAUUUAGGAAUCUGCCUAGUAGUGGGGGAUAGCUCGGGGAAACUCGAAUUAAUACCGCAUACGACCUACGGGUGAAAGGGGGCGCAAGCUCUUGCUAUUAGAUGAGCCUAAAUCAGAUUAGCUAGUUGGUGGGGUAAAGGCCUACCAAGGCGACGAUCUGUAACUGGUCUGAGAGGAUGAUCAGUCACACCGGAACUGAGACACGGUCCGGACUCCUACGGGAGGCAGCAGUGGGGAAUAUUGGACAAUGGGGGCAACCCUGAUCCAGCCAUGCCGCGUGUGUGAAGAAGGCCUUUUGGUUGUAAAGCACUUUAAGCAGGGAGGAGAGGCUAAUGGUUAAUACCCAUUAGAUUAGACGUUACCUGCAGAAUAAGCACCGGCUAACUCUGUGCCAGCAGCCGCGGUAAUACAGAGGGUGCGAGCGUUAAUCGGAAUUACUGGGCGUAAAGCGAGUGUAGGUGGCUCAUUAAGUCACAUGUGAAAUCCCCGGGCUUAACCUGGGAACUGCAUGUGAUACUGGUGGUGCUAGAAUAUGUGAGAGGGAAGUAGAAUUCCAGGUGUAGCGGUGAAAUGCGUAGAGAUCUGGAGGAAUACCGAUGGCGAAGGCAGCUUCCUGGCACAAUAUUGACACUGAGAUUCGAAAGCGUGGGUAGCAAACAGGAUUAGAUACCCUGGUAGUCCACGCCGUAAACGAUGUCUACUAGCCGUUGGGGUCCUUGAGACUUUAGUGGCGCAGUUAACGCGAUAAGUAGACCGCCUGGGGAGUACGGCCGCAAGGUUAAAACUCAAAUGAAUUGACGGGGGCCCGCACAAGCGGUGGAGCAUGUGGUUUAAUUCGAUGCAACGCGAAGAACCUUACCUGGUCUUGACAUAGUGAGAAUCCUGCAGAGAUGCGGGAGUGCCUUCGGGAAUUCACAUACAGGUGCUGCAUGGCUGUCGUCAGCUCGUGUCGUGAGAUGUUGGGUUAAGUCCCGCAACGAGCGCAACCCUUUUCCUUAUUUGCCAGCGGGUUAAGCCGGGAACUUUAAGGAUACUGCCAGUGACAAACUGGAGGAAGGCGGGGACGACGUCAAGUCAUCAUGGCCCUUACGACCAGGGCUACACACGUGCUACAAUGGUAGGUACAGAGGGUUGCUACACAGCGAUGUGAUGCUAAUCUCAAAAAGCCUAUCGUAGUCCGGAUUGGAGUCUGCAACUCGACUCCAUGAAGUCGGAAUCGCUAGUAAUCGCAGAUCAGAAUGCUGCGGUGAAUACGUUCCCGGGCCU
RNAcentral lists this ribosomal RNA (1355 nucleotides) under uncultured bacterium. RNAcentral describes it as "bacterial SSU rRNA". It matches the Rfam family "Bacterial small subunit ribosomal RNA", at positions 28 to 1381 of the family's 1533-position model. The record is from RNAcentral.